This 6510-nucleotide small nuclear RNA is filed under the name Lynx pardinus (Iberian lynx). Lineage: Eukaryota; Metazoa; Chordata; Mammalia; Carnivora; Felidae. The record is from RNAcentral.
UCUUAUUACACAUUGCUCUGAGUAAUCUCCUGAAGGGCUAGACUCCUUUCCAAUUCUGCCUAUAAUAAUAUCAGCAAAUGAAAUAAUAAUGAUGAAGAUAAUGAUGACGAGGAUGAUGAGACUAUUGGUAAGAGCCAUAUUAUGCUCUGGGCUUCCCAUGUCUUUUCAUCUAAUACUCACAAUGCAUCUAUAAUAUGCUAUUGCUGUCUCAUAUGGACAGAUAAGGAAACUGAGGUACAGAGAGAUUAACAUCUGCACUCACACCUGGUAGGAGGCGAAGUCAGAUGUGUUGUGUUCCAUGGUCAAUGCCUUCUCAAAUACCCCAUACUUUUUUUAAAAGCAUUUUUUAAAGUUUAUUUAUUUAUUUUGAGAGAGAGAGGGAGGGAGAGCAGGGGUGGGGCAGAGAGAAUCCCAAACCGGCUCCACACCAGUAGCUCUGAGCCCGACUCAAGGCUCAAACUCACAAACCAUGAGAUCAUGACCUGAGCCAAAACCAGGAGUCAGAUGCUUACCAACUGAGCCACCCAGGCGCCCCAUCUAAUACCCAUACUUUUUAUAUUUCAUUUAUAUUUGAGACUUUAAAAGGUAUAUAAAAGCUGAAAGUUGUUUUACUUUGCAUUUCUUAACCAAGAAGUAGGUUGCUAGAUAACAUACUUGUUAAACCUCUUUUUCAUCUCCUUUGACCACUUAUCCAAUAGAUUGGUGAUGUUAAUUAGAUAUUUGUAACAACGCCCUCUAAAUUGGAUAGAAAUUGGAUAGAGAUUAUAAAAAAAGAUUGUAUUUUUUCCCCAUAUGUUUACAUAUAUUCUUAGGUUUUAGUGCCCAUUGAUUCUUCCUUUCCUCUAUUCUAAUUUAUGUCUUCUGUAAAUUCCUUUUUUUUAAUAAAUUUUUUUAAGUUUAUUUACUUAUUUUGAGAGAGAGUGAGCAUGAGCAUGGGGAGCGGCAGAGAGGGAGAGCGAGAAUCCCAAGCAGGCUCUGUGCUGUGCUGUCAGCACAGAGCCCAAUGCAGGGUCCACCCAGGCACCCCUUCUGUAAAUUCUCCUUAUCUGAAAAUUCCAUUACCAGCAUGGGGAAUAGUAUAUUAAGUAGUACUUAACACUCUUAUCUUAUUCAUACAAUGGUAGUCUUAGUAGAAGUAGUAGUAGUAAUGGUAGUGAUAGCAGCUUUCAAAAACUAAGUGCUUACCAAGUGCUAAGGAUAUUACAUACAUGAACUCAUUUAAUUAUCACUAUAAUCCAGUGAGAUAUUAUCUUUGUUUUACAAAUGAAGAAAUAGGCCCAGGAGAUCCUGGGUGGCUCAGUGGGUUAAGUGAGUAAGCAUCCAACUCUUGAUCUCAGCUCAGGUCAUGAUCUCGAGGUUCGUGGGUUUGAAUCCUGUAUCAGGCUCUGUGUUGACAGCAUGAAGCCUGCUUGGGAUUCUGUCUCUCCCUUUCUCUGCCCCUCCCCACUCUCUCUCUCUCAAAAUAAAUAAAUAAACUUAAAAAAGAAAAAAAAAUAGGCUCAGAUUUAUCAGCUUGGCCAAGGACACACAGUUAACAAAAGGAAGUCCUGUCUAUGCCGAAGUCCAUGUUCUUAAUAACAGUACUGCUGGCCCCCUAUUAUGUAGAGUAUAAAGUUAACUCUCUUUGAAAACAAAAUCCUUUAUAAACGUAAAGAAAUCUUCCAUACCAAUUUAUUUCUUUUUAAAAUUUUGAAUGAAUGGGUUUUUAUAACAUUAUAUUAGUUUCACGUUUACAACAUAAUGAUUCAAUAUUUGUACGUACUGUGAAAUGAUCACCACGCUAAUCUAGUUAACAUCCAUCACCACAUCUAGUUAUAAAUGUUUUAUACUAACUUCUUACAAGCUUUGAAUCAAAGAGAUUUUUAAUUUAAUCAAAUAUUUUCUUAACGUUUAUAAAGAACUUUGUCAUUACCCUUGCCUAUCCUAGCGUCUACCUCUGGUGGUCUCUGGGCAUUGCCACUCUGGCCUCCAGGGGGCACUGUUACCCCUUUAAUACUGUGGCUCAAGCCUUUGCUAAUUCCCUUAAGCACAGAUAAGACCAGGAAAAUAUUUAAACAAAGUUUACAAGGGGCUCAGAUGAACAGAAGGCAAAUGAGUACAGAGAGUAAUAUACAACUAGAUAAUUUGGUUCACUGAAUGCAGAGUAGGCAUUUCAGUAUUUGACACUGAAAUACCUUGCUUCCCACUGCAUGCACAAAGCAGAAAACUUUUUUUCUAUCCUGCACUAUGUCCUCAAGCAAGCAAAAUUCUUCAAAAACUGGCUCUGAGAUUAGUAAGGCUAGUUCCAGCUAAGGGCUUCCUUCCAAAUUCUACUUUCCAGUUUCAGUGUCUGCCUCUCCCUACACACUGGACACUUAACAUGUCAGCCCUCUUCUAGAAAGAUGGCAUUGUCUGCUUCUGGUUUGUAGCUUUACCCUGUUGUUUGGGAAUGGUUAUCUGUGGGUGUCUCAUACUCCUUCAUGUCUUAGACAGUAUGCCAAGAAUGUAAGGCCCUAACAGCUUAUACAGCUUAUAUUACAUAUCUAUUACUACAUAACUGAUUACUCCAAAAUGUAGAGGCUUAAAAAACAAACUUUUUUUUUUUUUUUUUGACAGUUUCUUUUGAUUAGGAAUCUGGGCAUAGCUUAGCUAGGUGCCCCUGGUUCCAGGUCAAGGUGUUGGCCAGGGUGCAGUCAUCCCCAGUCUUGAAUAAGGGAGAUUCUUCUUCCAAGCUCAUUCAACAGAGUUGUUGGUAGGCCUCAGGUUCUUACUGUGGCCAAAGACAUCCUUUCCUUGCCAUGCAGGUCUCUCCAUAAGGCAGCUCACAACAUGCUGUCUACCCUUGCAGUGAGUGGAGAGAGAACAUGAGAAGGUGCCCAAGACAGAAGCUUCGGUCUUUUUAUAACCUCAUGUCAGAAGCAAUAUCCUGUCAUUUGUGCUGUAUUAAAUUAGUUAGAAGUGAGUCAGUAGCUCUAGCCCACAGUCAACUGGAGGUGAUUACACCAAGGAGUGAAUACCAGAAGGUAAGAAUCAUUAUGGGCCAUUGUAGAGGCCUUCUACCAUAUCACUUUACGCAAGCCAUUUCUCAUGGUGGUGUUUACAGCAAGCAAUCUUUUUUUCUUUUUAAUUUUUUUAAAUGUUUACUUAUUUUUCAGAGAGGGGAGGGAAGGAGAGAGGGAGACACAGAAUCCAAAGCAGGCUCCAGGCUCCGAGCUGUCAGCACAGAGCCCAAUUUGGGGCUCGAACUCAUGAACCAGGAGAUCAUGACCUGAGAUGAAAUCGACACCCCAGUCCUUUUUUUUUUAAGUUUAUUUAUUUAUUUUGAGAAAGAGAACAGGGGAAGGGCAGAGAGAGAGAGAGAGAGGGAGAAAAAGAACCCCAAGAAGUCUCCACACCCAGCCCGGUGCCUGAUGUGGGGUUUGAUCUCACAACUGUGAGAUCAUGACCAGAGCUGAAACCAAGAGUUGGACAUUUAACCAACUGAGCUACCCAGGUUUCUUGCCCUUUUUAAAAAACUUAUGUCUACUCCCAACUUGGGGCUUGAACUUACAACCCUGAGAUCAAGAGUAGCAGGCCCUACUGACUGAGCCAGCCAGGAUCGCCUACAUCAAGCAGUCUUGAGGAAUGAAGUAACCUCUCCCUCUGGGAAAGAGAAGCUGGCUUAGCUUGUUGCUUGCUAGAAAAGCAAUGGGCUCCCCAAGCUCACUGUUACCCCCAAUGAACACAAACCCACUGCACAUGUGGCAUCUAUCUGGGGCUUUUAGUAUCACACCUGUGGGACUUGAGGCAAGAGGAGUUAAUGUAAACAAUUCAUUCUGUUUAUGCUGUGCUGUGGGUAAAAAAAUUUUUUUGUCUAGGUGGCUCAGUCUGUUGAACGUCAACUCUUGGUUUCAGCUCAGGUCAUGAUCUUACAGUUCAUGAGUUCAAGCCCUGCCUGGGGAUUCUCUCUCUCUUUCUCUUUCUCUGCCCGACCCUGCUCUCUCUCUCUUUCUCUCUCUUUCCUUUCUCUCUCAAAAUAAAUAAAUAAACUUUUAUAAAGGUUUUUUCCCCCUCUUCCUCAGAUAUUCCAUGUCUUCUUUCAGCAUCUGUAAAACAGUAAAGGUUAACUUGUUGGCUUGUAAGUAGGAUAAAAACAAAUUGCAGACCUGACAGUUUGACUCAACAGCACAAUUCAGAAUUGUAUACAAGCCUGGGAGACCAUCAUUCAUACAAGAGAUCCACGUACAUAUAUUUCAUUUUAUUUGACAAACACUUAUGUGCCAGGUAAUUAUUCUCAGAGUUUAUAGACAUAAACUCAUUUCAUUCAUGAGGUAGGCACUAUUAAAAACCGCUGCUUUACAGAUGAGGCAGAAGAGGCCCAAAGAUGUUGAGUAACUUGCUGCAAGUCACAUUGCUCAUAAGUGUCAGAGCCUCAAAUAGUCAAACAGAAACAAACACAAAAGUCCUGGCUACACCAUCCAUUGAUCCACUGUAUCAUGCUAACUGUGUUCCAGGUUGGGAAGGGGUGAAGCAGAGACAAGAUGGGGGGAAAUGACAAAACAGAGAGUUCAUUCCUCAAAACAUGAGUUGAAAUCAAUUUAGAAUUUUUCAUUCCUAACAUAGUAACAUAUUGUCUGUUGUUUCAAAGGAUAUUCAAAGGAUAAACUCUACCAGUUAUAUUUGACUGGUUAGGAUUUGACUUAGAACACUUGUUCUAUAUUCAGACUAUGAAGGUUAAAAUGUAUUGUUCACACACACAAAUCUGAACAUGGAAUUUAUAACAGCUUUGUUCAUAACUGCCCAAACUUGGAAGCAGCCAGGAUGUUUUUCAGUUGGUGAAUGGACAAACUGUAGUACAUACAGACAAUAAAAAUUAAUUAAUUUUUAUUUUAGAUAAAGAGAGUGUGUCAGCAGGGGAGAGGGGCAGGGGGAGAGAGAGAGAGAGGGAAAGAGAGAGAAACUUAAGCAGGCUCCAUGCUCAGCGCAGAGCCCGAUGUGGGACUUGAUCCAAUGACUCUGGGAUCAUGACCUGAGCCAAAAUCAAGAGUCGGACGCUCAACCAACUGAGCCACCCAGGCACCCCUCAAUAGAAAAUUAUUUAAUUCUAAAAACAAAUGAGCUAUUAAACCAUGAAAAGAUUGGGGGGAGGGGACUUUAAUGCAUGUCACUAAGUAAAAGAAGCCAUAUGAUUCCAGCCAUAUGACAAUCUGAAAAAGGCAAAACUAUGGAGAUAGUAAAAAGAUCAGUGGUUUCCAGGGGUUGGGAGGAAGGGAGGGAUGAAUAGGCAGAGCUCAAAGGAUUUCAGGGCAAUGAAACUGUUUUGUAGAGUACUGUUAUGGUGAAAACAUGUUAUUAUACAUUUGUCCAAGUCCACAGAAUAUGCAAUAAGAGUGAACCCUAAUGUAAACCAUAGACUGAUGAUAAUGAUGUGUCAAUGUAGGUUCAUCCAUGAUAAUGAAUGUACCACUCUGGUGGGGCAGGUUGUGCAUGUGUGGGGACGGGUUAUAUAAGACCUCUACACUUUCCACCCAAUGUUGUUAUGAACCUAAAACUGCUUUAAAAAAUAGUCUUUUAAAAAGUGCUUUGAAAAUUACAGUGUACUUAAAUUUUUAAAAAAAUUUUUAAAAUUUAUUUUUGAGAGAGAGAGGGCACACCAGCAGGGGAGGAGCAGAGAGAAAGAGAGACACAGAACCCGAAGCAGGGUCCAGGCUCUGAGCUUUCAGCACAGAGCCCAAUGCGGGGCUUGAACCCACGAACCAUGAGAUCAUGACCUGAGCUGAAGUCGGAUGCUUAACCGACUGAGCUACCUAGGUACCCCAAAAAAUUAUGGUGUACUUUAAAAUUUAAACUUUUUUUUAAUUUUUUAAUGUUUAUUUAUUUUUGAGAGAGAGAGAGAGGGAGAGGCCACGAGCAGGGGAGGGGAAGAGAGAGAGGGAGUCACAGGAUCCGAAUUUGCACGUCACCCUUGCACAGGGGCGGGCUAAUCUUCUCUGUAUUGUUCCAGUUUUAGUACACGUGCUACCCAAGCGAGCACAGGAGUCGCAGAAUCCGAAGCAGGCUCCAGGCUCCGAGCUGUCAGCAUAGAGCCUAACUUGGAGCUAGAACCCAUGGACCACAAGAUCAUGACCUGAGCUGAAGUUGGAUGCUAAACUGACUGAGUCAUCCAGGCACCUCAAAUGUAAACUAUUAUUAAUAGUGUAAACGUGUAGUAAGUUUUUGUUAACCUCACUCUAUACCUGUUCAAGUCCCCCUUGCUCUUGGUCUCAUCCUCUGUCUGUUGCCUCCUCCUUUCCUUAAUAAGUGUAAAUGGCUUGGCCCCCACUUGGGCUCUCUUCCCCUCCUCCAUUGUCCUUCUCUUCAACCUUCCUAACCCAGGUUUAAUGCGGCUGUCUCCUCCAUACCUAUACCAUGGCUGCAGAGCUCUGCGAAGAUGAUAUCUAUUGUACAACUUGCAUUUCUCCUACAUCAGUUCAUCCCUCAGUGUGUCCUGCAACUAUUUCUGUUUCUCAAACCAGAGCUUUCUGCUUAAUAUAUGUAUCAGCAAAUUUUAAG